This 324-nucleotide long non-coding RNA is filed under the name Bos taurus (domestic cattle). RNAcentral describes it as "long non-coding RNA NONBTAT000236". The record is from RNAcentral. Lineage: Eukaryota; Metazoa; Chordata; Mammalia; Artiodactyla; Bovidae.
GACCUGCAGUUGGACAUUGUCAUGAAGAAGAAUUGGGCUGUAUCUGUUGACCAAUGCCAGCUGCAGACAUUGCAGUUUUUGGUGCAUCUAAUUGAUUUGUUGAGCAUACUUCUCAGGUGUAAUGGUUUCACCAGGAUUCAGAAAGCUGUAUUGGUUCAGACGGGCAGCAGACUAACAAGCAGUGACCACGACCUUUUAUUUUUUGGUGCAAGUUUGGCUUUGGGAAGUGCUUUGGAGCAUCUUCUGGCUAUAAUCACUGAGCUGGUCAUCACUGGCUGUCAUAUAAAAUGUCACAAUCUGAUCAAGAAAAGGUUUGUUGUUGUU